RNAcentral lists this ribosomal RNA (444 nucleotides) under uncultured bacterium. Its description in RNAcentral is "partial 16S ribosomal RNA". It matches the Rfam family "Bacterial small subunit ribosomal RNA", at positions 338 to 795 of the family's 1533-position model. The record is from RNAcentral.
CCUACGGGUGGCUGCAGUGGGGAAUAUUGCACAAUGGGCGCAAGCCUGAUGCAGCCAUGCCGCGUGUGUGAAGAAGGCCUUCGGGUUGUAAAGCACUUUCAGCGGGGAGGAAGGCGGUGAGGUUAAUAACCUUACCGAUUGACGUUACCCGCAGAAGAAGCACCGGCUAACUCCGUGCCAGCAGACGCGGUAAUACGGAGGGUGCAGGCGUUAAUCGGAAUUGGUGGGCGUAAAGCGCAGGCAGGAAAUCCCCGGGCUCAACCUGGGAACUGCAUUCGAAACUGGCAGGCUAGAGUCUUGUAGAGGGGGGUAGAAUUCCAGGUGUAGCGGUGAAAUGCGUAGAGAUCUGGAGGAAUACCGGUGGCGAAGGCGGCCCCCUGGACAAAGACUGACGCUCAGGUGCGAAAGCGUGGGGAGCAAACAGGAUUAGAUACCCCUGUAGUC